UGGCUCAGGAUGAACGCUGGCGGUGUGCCUAAUACAUGCAAGUCGAUCGGGCGUAGCAAUACGUCAGAGGCGUACGGGUGAGUAACACGUAGGUAACCUACCUUUAAGACUGGGAUACCCAGACGAAAGUUUGGCUAAUACCGGAUAACAACAUUUGAGACAUCUCUUAUGUUUGAAAGGCGCUGCAAGGCGCCACUUUUAGAUGGACCUGCGUCGCAUUAGCUAGUUGGUGAGAUAAAAGCCCACCAAGGCUGGGAUGCGUAGCCGAUCUGAGAGGAUGACCGGCCACAAUGGGACUGAGACACGGCCCAUACUCCUACGGGAGGCAGCAGUAGGGAGUUUUCGGCAAUGGGGGAAACCCUGACCGAGCAACACCGCGUGAGUGAUGAAAGGUCUUCGGAUCGUAAAGCUCUGUUACGAGGGACGAAUGAUCGCUUUAGGAAAUGAGAGCGGUUUGACGGUACCUCGCCAGAAAGCGACGGCUAACUACGUGCCAGCAGCUGC
This 504-nucleotide ribosomal RNA is filed under the name uncultured bacterium. RNAcentral's name for it is "bacterial SSU rRNA". It matches the Rfam family "Bacterial small subunit ribosomal RNA", at positions 20 to 518 of the family's 1533-position model. The record is from RNAcentral.